UGCUUGUGCCUUGCGGCCUAUUUCUCAGGCAGCUCCGCCAACGAUCACUCUUUAUGUAGGUGCUCUGAUGUCGGUGCACAUGUAUCUAUGAGGAUCACAUCUUGCUGGUGAGCUGACUCUUAACAUCUUUCCCGCUUGUGAUAAUCUUUCACCUAAAUAUUUUUUUUUUUUUCUUAUAAGAACACGACAUACUCUGUUGGGACUCCCAUCUGCCUGGUAGUCUUUUCCCAUCGCGUACUUCCAGCCCACGUAUGUCUCCAAAUCUGUGAGACUCUCCCUUGAACACCAACCCUGCACCCCAUGCUUGGUGCCACGCAUGCAGAGAGGCCCAGGAGACACGGUGUCCCGUCCCUCCAGCCCUGUUGUGUCACUCAGGAAUAACUUGGAAUGACCUAAGGAUGCAGGAGUCAAGACAGCGGCUCAUGUCCCGAGCUGCUUCUGAUCGGAGGACCAGUGACGGGUUCUGUGCGGGAUAAGUGGCUGCCAUGGCAACGUCUGGCCCACAUUCUGGUCCAGCAGAGCUUUCACUGAACACACGUUCUGGCUGCUGCUUGCAAAGAGAGACUGUGGCAGCUGAUUUUGAUAAGGAAGAGCCACCGUUCAGGCAUUGAAAAACAACACUUCAUAGAACCCAAGGUUGGACUGUAGUCGUUCACGCCAGAGGAAGCAUCUCUUGGUCCCCCCACUCUGUUUGGAGUUGAUGUAUUACCACAUCGUGGCAGUGCGAUGUGUGCAUUUACUCAGGUGAAUUUAGUGGGAAAUAUAUUUUAGUGACAAGCACCAAGGUUUCAUAGAGAUUGAGAAUAAUAUGUCAAAUUGGCCUAGAGACUAACAGCAUUUAGCAUUCACCAAUACAAAAAGCGUUCUUUUAAAUUCUCCAAGGAACCUCAGUGUCUCAUCUGUCAUUUUUAGUUGAGGCAAUAAAAUCCUGUUUGUUUGCAAAAAGGUCACACAGGCCCCACCCAGGGCCUCUACCCUCCUCACCCCGCCCUGCACGACCUGCUGACACCCUUCCCAGGCCUGCAUGGGGUUGGCAGGUGCCCUGAGCUGGGUUUGGUUUCACCCCUAAGAGUCUAGCUUCGCUUUGCUGUGUACCAUUCAUAGGUGUCUACAGAUCUUAUCUGAAUUAAUCAAAUAUAAAGUAAUUCAAAACCA
Molecule: long non-coding RNA, 1155 nt
Organism: Cavia porcellus (domestic guinea pig)
Lineage: Eukaryota; Metazoa; Chordata; Mammalia; Rodentia; Caviidae
Exons: 3
Source: RefSeq, a predicted model, not a curated record